This 762-nucleotide ribosomal RNA is filed under the name uncultured bacterium. RNAcentral describes it as "bacterial SSU rRNA". It matches the Rfam family "Bacterial small subunit ribosomal RNA", at positions 8 to 796 of the family's 1533-position model. The record is from RNAcentral.
AGAGUUUGAUCAUGGCUCAGGAUAAACGCUGGCGGUGUGCUUUAUGCAUGCAAGUCGGACGGGUCACUUCGGUGAUCAGUGGCAGACGGGUGAGUAACACGUAAGUAACCUGCCCUUAAGUGGGGAAUAGCCCUGAGAAAUCGGGGUUAAUACCGCAUGUGAUGGCGGAGCGCAAGCUUCGUCAUUAAAGCUUUCGGGCGCUUGAGGAGGGGCUUGCGUACGAUUAGUUUGUUGGUGAGGUAACGGCCCACCAAGGCGACGAUCGUUAGCUGGUUUGAGAGGACGACCAGCCACACUGGGACUGAGACACGGCCCAGACUCCUACGGGAGGCAGCAGCAAGGAAUAUUGGGCAAUGGGCGAAAGCCUGACCCAGCGACACCGCGUGGAGGAAGAAGGCCUUCGGGUUGUAAACUCCUUUUUCCGGGGAAGAUAACAGACGGUACCCGGGGAAUAAGUCUCGGCUAACUACGUGCCAGCAGCCGCGGUAAUACGUAGGAGGCGAGCGUUAUCCGGAUUUACUGGGCGUAAAGAGCGCGUAGGCGGUCUGUCAAGUCGGAUGUAAAAUCUCCCGGCUCAACUGGGAGGGCGCAUCCGAAACUGGUAGACUAGAGUGCAGCAGAGGGAAGUGGAAUUCCCGGUGUAGUGGUGAAAUGCGUAGAUAUCGGGAGGAACACUAGUGGCGAAGGCGGCUUUCUGGGCUGUAACUGACGCUGAGGUGCGAAGGCGUGGGGAGCAAACAGGAUUAGAUACCCUAGUAGUCC